GCCCGGGAAAAGCAAUUGGCUUGAAGGUCGCAAGACCAGUUCUUAAAUUUUGAAGUCCAAAACAGCGUUUACCUCCACAUUGUCAUCUAAAUCACAUCCAUCAAACAGUAUACUUCCGACUAGAAAAGUCCUGACAGAAACAUGGUAAUCAAAACCCAGAAUAGUAAAGAUGGAAUGGAGUAAGGGGAGUACCUACACAUUAGUUUACUGGCGCACCUUCUCGCUAUUAGGUGAGAGGCUUUGAGCCUCUCAACACAGAGAGAGAUGCAAUUAGACAACAAAAAUAUGUGCUACACUUAAUAUUCACCUAAAGUUUAAAAGCGGGUCCAGUCACUGAAUUGAUAAAAGCAACAUUGGAGCAUCUCUCAAAAGUCAAAAAACCAUUCCUCCUUGUGUGAAUUAGAUCUUAUCCCCCGUCCAAGAGGUAGGAUUAAAAGGCAACUAAAUAUCAGGUCUUAAACGGAGUCUGUCACAACUGAACAGAAACUACUGAUCUCUUAUUAUCUGCUGUAAAAGAAAAACAAAGGAGGAGGAGGAGCUAUUGAUCUCCAAGCACAAGAGUCUUGACAAUAGCAUCAGCCAUGC
Molecule: long non-coding RNA, 585 nt
Filed under: Elaeis guineensis (African oil palm)
Lineage: Eukaryota; Viridiplantae; Streptophyta; Magnoliopsida; Arecales; Arecaceae
Description: long non-coding RNA (EGUI_LNC004187)
Source: RNAcentral